Molecule: ribosomal RNA, 253 nt
Filed under: uncultured bacterium
Lineage: Bacteria
Description: partial 16S ribosomal RNA
Rfam family: Bacterial small subunit ribosomal RNA
Source: RNAcentral
UACGUAGGGGGCAAGCGUUGUCCGGAUUUAUUGGGCGUAAAGAGCGUGUACGCGGCCUGACAGGUCUGCUGUGAAAACUCGAGGCUCAACCUCGAGAUGUCGGCGGAAACCGUCUGGCUAGAGUCCGGAAGAGGAGAGUGGAAUUCCUGGUGUAGCGGUGAAAUGCGCAGAUAUCAGGAAGAACACCUAUGGCGAAGGCAGCUCUCUGGGACGGUACUGACGCUGAGACGCGAAAGCGUGGGGAGCGAACAGG